RNAcentral lists this ribosomal RNA (487 nucleotides) under uncultured bacterium. RNAcentral describes it as "bacterial SSU rRNA". It matches the Rfam family "Bacterial small subunit ribosomal RNA", at positions 39 to 518 of the family's 1533-position model. The record is from RNAcentral.
AGCGACAGGCCUAACACAUGCAAGUCGAGGGGCAGCACAAGGAGCAAUCUGAGGUGGCGACCGGCGGCACGGGUGAGUAACACGUAUGCAACCUGCCUGUAAGCGGGGAAUAACCCGUUGAAAGACGGACUAAUACCGCAUAAUACUAAAUUACUGCAUGGUAAUUAUUUAAACAUUUAUGGCUUACAGAUGGGCAUGCGCAUGAUUAGCUAGUUGGAGAGGUAACGGCUCCCCAAGGCAACGAUCAUUAGGGGUUCUGAGAGGAAGGUCCCCCACACUGGUACUGAGACACGGACCAGACUCCUACGGGAGGCAGCAGUGAGGAAUAUUGGUCAAUGGACGAGAGUCUGAACCAGCCAAGUCGCGUGCAGGAAGAAUGUUCCCUAUGGAUUGUAAACUGCUUUUGCAGGGGAAUAAAGUGCAUCACGUGUGAUGUUUUGUAUGUACUCUGCGAAUAAGGAUCGGCUAACUCCGUGCCAGCCGCAGC